UUGUCGCACGUCGCCUUCUACGUGCUGCGCAUCGACAUGGACGUCGCCAUGCCAAGAAGCGCCGCAAGAAGGAUGCCCGGGCCACACUUGACCCUGAGCGAGUCCGCCGGAUCGGUGGUGAUCCUGGCGCUGGACCCAGCAACGUUGCGACGCCUGCUGCACCGCCGCAGUAACCGCCAGCGCCACGUCAAGACCGAUGGGUGCGUCCUCCAUCGCCUUUGCCGGAGUGGGUUGCAGAGCGGUUACGUGAGUCCGAGACCCAACAGCCACUCCAUUCGAUGCGGUACUGGUACCGCCCCCUCCAUGGAUGGGGGUCGUGCCCUGCUCGCCAACCACGGGAUUUUCCACCGGAUGCAGACACCUCCGCUACCGCUGUUCGAUCGAGCGGACUGCUCAUUCAAGUUGCCUCUCCAGCGGACACGGCUGACUGCGCGGAAGUCAACCGGCCCCUCGCGGUCGCCCCGUCGGCCAGAUCGCAUCAAUGUCGGCUGCGACCGUUGCCGUCGAUGA
Molecule: unclassified non-coding RNA, 510 nt
Filed under: Zea mays
Lineage: Eukaryota; Viridiplantae; Streptophyta; Magnoliopsida; Poales; Poaceae
Description: misc RNA Zm00001eb323820
Source: RNAcentral